GCCGGUAUAGCUCAGUUGGCUAGAGCAUGCGGUUCAUACCCGCAGUGUCGUUGGUUCGAAUCCGACUACCGGUACCA
RNAcentral lists this transfer RNA (77 nucleotides) under Oscillospiraceae bacterium. RNAcentral describes it as "tRNA-Met". It matches the Rfam family "tRNA". Rfam says of the family: Transfer RNA (tRNA) molecules are approximately 80 nucleotides in length. Their secondary structure includes four short double-helical elements and three loops (D, anti-codon, and T loops). Further hydrogen bonds mediate the characteristic L-shaped molecular structure. tRNAs have two regions of fundamental functional importance: the anti-codon, which is responsible for specific mRNA codon recognition, and the 3' end, to which the tRNAs corresponding amino acid is attached (by aminoacyl-tRNA synthetases). tRNAs cope with the degeneracy of the genetic code in two manners: having more than one tRNA (with a specific anti-codon) for a particular amino acid; and 'wobble' base-pairing, i.e. permitting non-standard base-pairing at the 3rd anti-codon position. The record is from RNAcentral. RNAcentral also lists the same sequence under 1 other name. Lineage: Bacteria; Bacillati; Bacillota; Clostridia; Eubacteriales; Oscillospiraceae.